AUACGGCUCUGGAUGAAAGGAAAUGGAAGACUGUGUUAGUUUUGUAGGUCCGCGAAUUAAAUCCUAACCGGAUAAAUGCACUUUACGUUGAAGGUUUGACUGCUUUGGAUGUCAGUAUGGACCAUACAGAGAAUAAAAACAGCUUUGAUGAUGACCAAAAUUCAGAAGAUCAGCUGAGCCAAUCUCAAGGAGUGGAGUUAGGCAACAGGCCUUCUUUGUCUGAGGUUAGGAAGUCCUGGGGUUUCAGACGCUCAACCCUAGCAAGACGGGAGUUCAUCGAUGAAGUCGUAGACCUAACCAACAGUCCUGCCCCGGUUCGAAGGGGCAGGGGUCGCAGAACCAAUCAGACUACUGCAGAGACCUGCAGCUCACACAGCACUGCACUCUCAACCAGGAGUGUUAUAGAAGAUCUCCAGUGGUCUGCUCCAUCCUCACCCACAUCUGAGGAUAGUAAGCCGGCCUCAGAGCCAGAAGCCUCUGCUGAGGGAAGCCUUGAUCCCAGUUUAUGGCAUGAUGUUGGGUCUGCGUUUCAUACUGCUUUCUCACUCCUGGGGGGAGACGAGGGCCUUUCAAUGCCCAUGCCGGAAGCACUGGUGGUUCCUGACAUGUUAGAAGCACCAGGUUUCCAUGAUAUCUUCAAUUCACAGGCAUUAGAAGACUCUGAAGUACUUGAUAAUGUGCAUGAGCUGGAGCUAUCUGAACAAUUAUCCCCUGGUAGUGUGAUUUCAAUCCCAAACCAGGAGGACAGCGAUGACAUGACUCUGAUGCAGAUAAAGGAGCAACUAGAGUCUAAUAUUAAAGAGGGGAGCACAAAGGCGAAAGCAGGUAGAGGUGGAAGAGGUCGGGCUAGAGGACGGGGGAGAGGCAGAGGACGAGGUAGAGG
Gouania willdenowi (blunt-snouted clingfish) is the source of this 883-nucleotide long non-coding RNA. Ensembl lists it as uncharacterized. The record is from Ensembl. Lineage: Eukaryota; Metazoa; Chordata; Actinopteri; Blenniiformes; Gobiesocidae.